RNAcentral lists this signal recognition particle RNA (290 nucleotides) under Cebus imitator (Panamanian white-faced capuchin). RNAcentral describes it as "Metazoan signal recognition particle RNA (ENSCCAG00000006807.1)". It matches the Rfam family "Metazoan signal recognition particle RNA". From Rfam's summary of the family: The signal recognition particle (SRP) is a universally conserved ribonucleoprotein. It is involved in the co-translational targeting of proteins to membranes. The record is from RNAcentral. Lineage: Eukaryota; Metazoa; Chordata; Mammalia; Primates; Cebidae.
CCUGGGCAUGGUGGCAAUGCCUGUAGUCCCAGCCGCUUGGGAGACUGAAGCAGGAAGAUCACUUGGGUUUGGGAAUUCUAGGCUGUAGUGCACUAUGCCGAUCUAAGUUCAGCAUCAGUAUGGUGACCUCUCUGGGGUGUAGUGGAGCACCACCAGGUCGCCUAAUAAGAGGUAAAAUGGCCUAGGUCAGAAACAGAACAGGUCAAAACUCCUGUGCUGAUAAGUAGUGGGAUCAAGCCUGUGAAUAGCCAUCGCAUUCCAGCUGGGCAACAUAAAUAGACCCUGUCUCU